Molecule: ribosomal RNA, 253 nt
Filed under: uncultured bacterium
Lineage: Bacteria
Description: partial 16S ribosomal RNA
Rfam family: Bacterial small subunit ribosomal RNA
Source: RNAcentral
UACGUAGGGUGCAAGCGUUAAUCGGAAUUACUGGGCGUAAAGCGUGCGCAGGCGGCUUUGCAAGACAGAUGUGAAAUCCCCGGGCUCAACCUGGGAACUGCAUUUGUGACUGCACAGCUGGAGUGCGGCAGAGGAGACUGGAAUUCCUGGUGUAGCAGUGAAAUGCGUAGAUAUCAGGAGGAACACCGAUGGCGAAGGCAGGUCUCUGGGCUGACACUGACGCUCAUGCACGAAAGCGUGGGGAGCAAACAGG